GGCAAGUUCGGAUGGCCCGGCUCCUUUCGGGGCUGCGUGCUGUCUCUGAGUUUGCCAUCCUUCCAGAGAGCUGUGCCUACCGCUUCUGCGGCCGGGCGCAGUGAUCUGGAUCUUUUACUUUGAAAAAAUUAGAGUGUUCCAAGCAGGCUUACGCUUUGAAUACAUUAGCAUGGAAUAAUAAUAUAGGACUUUGGUUCUAUUUUGUUGGUUUCUAGGACUGAAGUA
RNAcentral lists this ribosomal RNA (225 nucleotides) under uncultured fungus. RNAcentral's name for it is "partial small subunit ribosomal RNA". The stretch from base 100 to 225 matches the Rfam family "Eukaryotic small subunit ribosomal RNA", at positions 737 to 864 of the family's 1831-position model. Lineage: Eukaryota; Fungi. The record is from RNAcentral.